CCUACGGGAGGCUGCAGUAGGGAAUAUUGCUCAAUGGGGGAAACCCUGAAGCAGCAACGCCGCGUGGAGGAUGAAGGUUUUAGGAUUGUAAACUCCUUUUGUUAGAGAAGAUUAUGACGGUAUCUAACGAAUAAGCACCGGCUAACUCCGUGCCAGCAGCCGCGGUAAUACGGAGGGUGCAAGCGUUACUCGGAAUCACUGGGCGUAAAGAGUGCGUAGGCGGGGUAAUAAGUCAGAUGUGAAAUCCUGUAGCUUAACUACAGAACUGCAUUUGAAACUGUUACUCUGGAGUGUGGAAGGGGUAGGUGGAAUGCUUGGUGUAGGGGUAAAAUGCGUAGAGAUCAAGAGGAAUACUCAUUGCGAAGGCGACCUGCUGGAACAUUACUGACGCUGAUGCACGAAAGCGUGGGGAGCAAACAGGAUUAGAUACCCGGGUAGUC
This 440-nucleotide ribosomal RNA is filed under the name uncultured bacterium. Its description in RNAcentral is "partial 16S ribosomal RNA". It matches the Rfam family "Bacterial small subunit ribosomal RNA", at positions 338 to 795 of the family's 1533-position model. The record is from RNAcentral.